CUAGAGAGGAGACACAUCCAACAGUCCUACAAGGAGUCCAAGGCAUCUGCAUGGAGUCCAGUACAUUGUGGACUCACCCUGUUGUCAAGUCAUCAGGAAGUUGGAUGAUGCUGUCUUCUUCUAGCUAAAUUAUGCAACUACUAAGAAGGGGAUCAGAAUUCUAUUUUGUAGCAGUUAUUUUACAAAUAAAUGUUAGUAAAAUUUUU
This 206-nucleotide unclassified non-coding RNA is filed under the name Rhipicephalus microplus (southern cattle tick). RNAcentral's name for it is "uncharacterized LOC119169668, transcript variant X1". The record is from RNAcentral. Lineage: Eukaryota; Metazoa; Arthropoda; Arachnida; Ixodida; Ixodidae.